Molecule: ribosomal RNA, 253 nt
Filed under: uncultured bacterium
Lineage: Bacteria
Description: partial 16S ribosomal RNA
Rfam family: Bacterial small subunit ribosomal RNA
Source: RNAcentral
UACAUAGAAUGCAAGCGUUAUCCGGAAUGAUUGGGCGUAAAGCGCUCGUAGGCGGCAUGCUAAGUCGGAUGUGAAAUCCCAGGGCUUAACCUUGGAACUGCAUUCGAUACUGGCAAGCUAGAGUGUGUGAGAGGAAAGUGGAAUUCCAGGUGUAGCGGUGAAAUGCGUAGAUAUCUGGAGGAACAUCAGUGGCGAAGGCGACUUUCUGGCACAACACUGACGCUGAGGAGCGAAAGCGUGGGGAGCAAACAGG